UUCAAGUAUCAAACAGCAAUCAUAAAAAAUAUGAUACAUCGUUACUUGACGACUUACAGGGUAUAAAGAGAGUAUAAUGUUGUCUACAAAAGGCAAUUGUGUUGAGAAAAGCCAAUUUGUCUUGCAAAAAGCUAUAUAUCAUACUAGCAUUUCAUCUGACAAGGUCAACCCCACACAAUCCUGCAUUCGAAAAUAUCAUUACAGAUACAUUUUAAAUGCGAACAUUGUACUUUUAAAAUUCUUCACAUCAAUUAUUCACGCACCUCGUAGUGUGUUUAACAUUAAAAAUAUUAGUGAAAAAUUAUCUUAAUUGAUAAAAGCUCUUCAAAUUGAAAAGAUAUAAAAUAUUUAUGGCAAAUAAUGCAAUAUAGCUGCUACACUGUUGAUUAGACAAAUGUCAUACUACUGACUCAAGACCAC
Molecule: long non-coding RNA, 420 nt
Filed under: Mytilus galloprovincialis (Mediterranean mussel)
Lineage: Eukaryota; Metazoa; Mollusca; Bivalvia; Mytilida; Mytilidae
Source: RNAcentral